RNAcentral lists this ribosomal RNA (301 nucleotides) under uncultured bacterium. Its description in RNAcentral is "partial 16S ribosomal RNA". It matches the Rfam family "Bacterial small subunit ribosomal RNA", at positions 509 to 809 of the family's 1533-position model. The record is from RNAcentral.
CAGCAGCCACGGUAAUACGUAGGGUGCGAGCGUUAAUCGGAAUUACUGGGCGUAAAGCGUGCGCAGGCGGUUGUGUAAGACAGGUGUGAAAUCCCCGGGCUUAACCUGGGAACUGCGCUUGUGACUGCACAGCUAGAGUAUGGCAGAGGGGGGUGGAAUUCCACGUGUAGCAGUGAAAUGCGUAGAGAUGUGGAGGAACACCGAUGGCGAAGGCAGCCCCCUGGGCCAAUACUGACGCUCAUGCACGAAAGCGUGGGGAGCAAACAGGAUUAGAUACCCCUGUAGUCCCUGUCUCUUAUAA